This 408-nucleotide non-coding RNA is filed under the name Gracilaria firma. The record is from RNAcentral. Lineage: Eukaryota; Rhodophyta; Florideophyceae; Gracilariales; Gracilariaceae.
GGGACUGUAAGGUUUCUACAUAUAAUAUAUUAUAUAUUAUGUCAUAAAUAUAAAUUUUGUGAAUAUUAAUAAUAAAUGCUAAAAACAAUAUACUAAAUUUAUCUAAACAAUUAGUCUGUGUUUAAAUUCUUUACAUCUUUUAUUAAGAUGAAAAUUUAAUAAUCACAUACUUUUACUAGAACUCAAAUAGUGUAAACCUAUAUAUUUAUUUGAUAUAUUAAACUUGGUUGCUCUUAAGUUAAUCUUAAUCAAGAAAUGAUUACUAAGAUAAGUAAUAAAUUGGUAUAAUAUCAAACUAUGUCUUUAUCAAAUUAUAUUAAACUAUAUAGCUUAUCUAAAGUAAUUUUAUAUAGUUAGACUGUGUAUAGUAUAUUAUUAUGGACGUGGGUUCAAUUCCCACCAGUUCCA